GCCGGGCGUGGUGGCACGUGCCUUUAGUCCCAGCUACUCAGGAGGCUGAGGCUGGAGGAUCGCUUGAGCCCCGGAGUUUUGGGCUGUAGGGCACUAUGCCGAUCUGGUGUCUGCACUAAGUUCGGCAUCAGUAUGGUGACAGUCCAGGAGCAGGGAACCACCAGGUUGCCUAAGGAAGGGUGAACCGGCCCAGGUCAGAAAUGGAGCAGGUCAAAACUCCUGUGCUGAUCAGUAGUGGGACUGCACCUGUGAAGAGCCACUGCAGUGCAGCCUGGGCAACACAGCCAGAACUCAUCUCAA
Molecule: unclassified non-coding RNA, 300 nt
Organism: Callithrix jacchus (white-tufted-ear marmoset)
Lineage: Eukaryota; Metazoa; Chordata; Mammalia; Primates; Cebidae
Rfam family: Metazoan signal recognition particle RNA
About the family: The signal recognition particle (SRP) is a universally conserved ribonucleoprotein. It is involved in the co-translational targeting of proteins to membranes. The eukaryotic SRP consists of a 300-nucleotide 7S RNA and six proteins: SRPs 72, 68, 54, 19, 14, and 9.
Source: Ensembl